AACAGCAACUGCAGAAUAGCUUGACGGGAUUUGGAAAACCUUGGAAAAUAAACCCAGGAGAUGGAGCAUUCUAUGGCCCUAAAGUGGUUGGUGAAAAGGAAAAGCUAAACAAUUCAGUAAAUGUGCGAACAAGAGACAACAAAAUUCAUGGAGAAAUAUCAAUAACUUCAGUCAUUGAAAAAUUGAAGAACCUCAAAAAAUCACGUACGCUAAAUGCCGAGGAAGAAUUCUGAAGUCUUCCCCUUGUGCUUCUCUAUAACUUUGUUUUGACCUCUGAAAAUGCACUUUCCCUGUCACUUAAGAUACUAGUUCUUUUAAGAACCCUAGGGCCACUUGUAGGGCUCCAAUGAGUUCAACCUUAGAAGCAAAAGUGAUUAUUUGAUAUAAACAAAAUUUUAAUUCACUGUGUUCUGAGACUAAAUAAAAGAUGGAGAAAUUUGCAAGAUAAGAAGACUCCAGAGACCUAAGUGGUAAAAUGGUGUUCAUUCAAAGGAAGGAACACCAGUGAGAAUUAUCAGAAAUUAAGCUUUGUUUCUUUCUCAGAAGAUGUGCUUCCAGCCUGUGGGCUGUAGCUUCCUGACUAGAGCAUCCACGUUGCAUGUGUGAGUCCUGAACUCCGUCCCCAACGGCCACUGCCCCUCACCCAACAACGACAGAAACGACUUUCAAUAAAAGCCCAUGGUCCUUUCUGAACAUGGAAGGGAGGUGUCUUAUUUUCUAAUACACACAUCUCAGGUGUUUUUAUGGCUGUUUUACUAAAGUUCACAUGGAAAUGUCAUGCCCAAAGUUGGAAUUGAUACUUCAUUUAGUCAGCAAUCAUAAGAGAAGUACUAAUAUUGUGCUAGCGGCAAAGGACUAUGAAACUUCAAAGAAAAUUUGUGGAAUCGGUUAUUUGCGCUGUGG
This 903-nucleotide long non-coding RNA is filed under the name Rattus norvegicus (Norway rat). Its description in RNAcentral is "long non-coding RNA NONRATT000775". Lineage: Eukaryota; Metazoa; Chordata; Mammalia; Rodentia; Muridae. The record is from RNAcentral.